RNAcentral lists this ribosomal RNA (121 nucleotides) under Macrolepiota albuminosa. RNAcentral describes it as "Termitomyces albuminosus partial 5.8S ribosomal RNA". It matches the Rfam family "5.8S ribosomal RNA", at positions 33 to 154 of the family's 154-position model. Rfam says of the family: 5.8S ribosomal RNA (5.8S rRNA) is a component of the large subunit of the eukaryotic ribosome. It is transcribed by RNA polymerase I as part of the 45S precursor that also contains 18S and 28S rRNA. Functionally, it is thought that 5.8S rRNA may be involved in ribosome translocation. The record is from RNAcentral. Lineage: Eukaryota; Fungi; Basidiomycota; Agaricomycetes; Agaricales; Agaricaceae.
UCGAUGAAGAACGCAGCGAAAUGCGAUAAGUAAUGUGAAUUGCAGAAUUCAGUGAAUCAUGCAUUAUUCCAGACAAUAAUUACAGGGGGAGUAUUCUGGCGGGCAUGCCUGUUCGAGCGUC